This 426-nucleotide long non-coding RNA is filed under the name Homo sapiens (human). RNAcentral describes it as "non-protein coding lnc-GLP1R-2:1". The record is from RNAcentral. Lineage: Eukaryota; Metazoa; Chordata; Mammalia; Primates; Hominidae.
AUGGCGGUGCUGUAGCCCUGGGCAGAUGGACCCAGUGGCUCCUUCCCUAGUGCGGUGUCCGGCAUGCAGCAGAUGCUGGAGAGAUGGACUUCAGGAUGGCACUAUGCCAGCCACAAUGGGCACUAUGCUGUGUGCCAGUUCCUACUGCUAAGUGGAGCUAAGUGUGAUGCCCAGACCCAUGGGGGUGCCACUGCUCUGCAGCAGGACUGCUACUGAGGGCACACUGACAUUGCAUGGCCUCUGUUUUCACAUGGGUCCAAGCCCAGAUUGAUAGAUGACGAUGGCAAUGACCAGCCUACAUAAGGCUCCUGAGAACGGUCACGUGGACAUUUGCUCCCUCCUGUUGCAACAUAGCUUAGCCCUGAAGGCCAUCUGGGAUGGAAGGCAUGGCUAGCAUGUGACCUGCUGCCCUGCAACGGUGACCUG